AUGGUCGAGCUUGCUUGGCCAAGCAUUUAUUAGUUUUAACCAAUUACUGCGCAAGCAGUAAGGUGAAUCUAGAUAACUUUGCUGAUCGCAUGGCGUAGCCAGCGACGUUUCAAUUGAGUUUCUGCCCUAUCAAUUUGUUGGUAAGGUAUUGGCUUACCAAGGUUGUAACGGGUAACGGGGAAUCAGGGUUCGAUUCCGGAGAGGGAGCUUGAGAAUCGGCUACCACAUCCAAGGAAGGCAGCAGGCGCGCAAAUUACCAAAUCUAGACAGUAGGAGGUGGUGAAGAGAAGUACUAAGUGGUGGUUAUUUACUACCAGCUUGGAAUGGACGUAAUUUAAGCAUUUCGAUGAGUAACUACUGGAGGGCAAGUCCUGGUGCCAGCAGCCGCGGUAAUUCCAGCUCCAGUGGCGUGAUUUAAAGUUGCUGCGUUUAAAACGCUCGUAGUUGGAUCAAGCGGUGUCAGUUUGUAGUCCGUGGCUAGCAUUUGACUGCUUCAGUCGAUGCUAGUCGUGGAUUAAAACGCAAACUGUCACUAUUUAAUCGCAAAUAUGUUAGUUGACCUUGAAUGAGUUGACUAUCAUAUUUUGCAGAGUUGUGCCUUGAAUAAAACAGAGUGCUCAAAGCAGGCGAACGCUUGAAUGUUGUAGCAUGGAACGAACAAACGUGUAUUAGCACAUGUCGGGCGAAGCGGAUGUGCUUCUGGUGUGUCUGCUUUGCUGAUGUGUGCAUCACCCGCCAAAGUACGAUUGUUGGUUAUCGUAUUAGGUGAUGAUUAAAAGGAGCGGUUGGGGGCAUUGGUAUUUGGACGCGAGAGGUGAAAUUCAAAGACCGUCCAAGGACUAACAAAUGCGAAGGCAUCUGUCCAGACCGUAUCCAUUAAUCAAGAACGAAAGUGGGAGGUUCGAAGACGAUUAGAUACCGUCGUAGUUCCCACUGUAAACUAUGCCGACUAGGGAUCAGCUUGGUGAUAUUACAAGCACCAAGUUGGUCUCCAAGGGAAACCAUAAGUUUUUCGGUUACGGGGAGAGUAUGGUCGCAAGGCUGAAAUUUAAAGGAAUUGACGGAAGGGCACCACCAGGGGUGGAACCUGCGGCUUAAUUUGACUCAACACGGGGAAACUUACAUGGUCCAGACAUCGAUAGGAUAAACAGACUGAUAGAUCUUUUUUGAUGCGGUGAGUGGUGGUGCAUGGCCGUUCCUAGUUCGUGGAGUGAUCUGUCAGGUUUAUUCCGGUAACGAACGAGACUACAACCUUCAUUUAAGAGGCAAAAGCAGGUUUCGCGAGAGAUGGUGCUUCGGUGCUGUCUUUCGUGUCUCUGAAAGAAGAAUAUGCUUGUUCUCAGUUCGUUGAGGAAUCGGGCAACCGUGAACUCAUUGAAAUGUGGAGCCGGUGUAUUUUCUCUUUUGUCAAGCAGUCCGAGGGUAACCUUUGGCUGACUUAUGGAGGGAC
RNAcentral lists this ribosomal RNA (1450 nucleotides) under Myxobolus pseudodispar. Its description in RNAcentral is "SSU rRNA". It matches the Rfam family "Eukaryotic small subunit ribosomal RNA", at positions 174 to 1420 of the family's 1831-position model. The record is from RNAcentral. Lineage: Eukaryota; Metazoa; Cnidaria; Myxozoa; Bivalvulida; Myxobolidae.